GCCGCAGUAGUCUAGCCCGGUUCAGGAUGAGGGCCUGUCGAGCCCUUGACCCGGGUUCAAAUCCCGGCUGCGGCGCCA
This 78-nucleotide transfer RNA is filed under the name Metallosphaera yellowstonensis MK1. RNAcentral describes it as "tRNA-Asp". It matches the Rfam family "tRNA". Rfam says of the family: Transfer RNA (tRNA) molecules are approximately 80 nucleotides in length. Their secondary structure includes four short double-helical elements and three loops (D, anti-codon, and T loops). The record is from RNAcentral. Lineage: Archaea; Thermoproteati; Thermoproteota; Thermoprotei; Sulfolobales; Sulfolobaceae.